CGUACGGGUGAGUAACACGUGGAUCAUCUACCUCUUAGUGGGGAAUAACUCUAGGAAACCGGAGCUAAUACCGCAUAAGCCUGGAAAGGGAAAGUCGCAUCUUAAUAAAUGAGACGCUGAGAGAGGAGUCCGCGGCCGAUUAGCUAGUUGGCAGGGUAAAAGCCUACCAAGGCAUUGAUCGGUAGCCGGCCUGAGAGGGCACACGGCCACACUGGCACUGAAACACGGGCCAG
Molecule: ribosomal RNA, 233 nt
Filed under: uncultured bacterium
Lineage: Bacteria
Description: partial 16S ribosomal RNA
Rfam family: Bacterial small subunit ribosomal RNA
Source: RNAcentral